GAUGAACGCUAGCGGGAGGCCUAAUACAUGCAAGUCGAGCGGUAGAGUGACUUCGGUUGCUUGAGAGCGGCGAACGGGUGAGUAACGCGUACACAAUCUACCUUUAAGAGGGGAAUAGCCCUGGGAAACUGGGAUUAAUGCCCCAUGGCAUCACGAGACGGCAUCGUUUUGUGAUUAAAGCUGAGGUGCUUAGAGAUGAGUGUGCGUCUGAUUAGCUAGUUGGUGCGGUAACGGCGCACCAAGGCGACGAUCAGUAGGGGGCGUGAGAGCGUGGACCCCCACACGGGUACUGAGACACGGACCCGACUCCUACGGGAGGCAGCAGUAAGGAAUAUUGGUCAACGGAGGAAACUCUGAACCAGCCAUCCCGCGUGCAGGAAGAAUGCCCUAUGGGUUGUAAACUGCUUUUAUCUGGGAAGAAAGUCGGGAUUUAUCCUGAUCUGACGGUACCAGAGGAAUAAGCACCGGCUAACUCCGUGCCAGCAGCCGCGGUAAAG
RNAcentral lists this ribosomal RNA (497 nucleotides) under uncultured bacterium. RNAcentral's name for it is "bacterial SSU rRNA". It matches the Rfam family "Bacterial small subunit ribosomal RNA", at positions 28 to 525 of the family's 1533-position model. The record is from RNAcentral.